This 478-nucleotide ribosomal RNA is filed under the name uncultured bacterium. RNAcentral's name for it is "partial 16S ribosomal RNA". It matches the Rfam family "Bacterial small subunit ribosomal RNA", at positions 28 to 523 of the family's 1533-position model. The record is from RNAcentral.
GACGAACGCUGGCGGCGUGCUUAACACAUGCAAGUCGAACGGUAAGGCCCUUCGGGGUACACGAGUGGCGAACGGGUGAGUAACACGUGGGUGAUCUGCCCUGCACUUCGGGAUAAGCCUGGGAAACUGGGUCUAAUACCGGAUAGGACUCCUGCCUGCAUGGGUGGGGGUGGAAAGCUUUUGUGGUGUGGGAUGGGCCCGCGGCCUAUCAGCUUGUUGGUGGGGUGAUGGCCUACCAAGGCGACGACGGGUAGCCGGCCUGAGAGGGUGACCGGCCACACUGGGACUGAGAUACGGCCCAGACUCCUACGGGAGGCAGCAGUGGGGAAUAUUGCACAAUGGGCGCAAGCCUGAUGCAGCGACGCCGCGUGAGGGAUGACGGCCUUCGGGUUGCAAACCUCUUUCAGCACAGACGAAGCGCAAGUGACGGUAUGUGCAGAAGAAGGACCGGCCAACUACGUGCCAGCAGCCGCGGUAA